CCUCGUCUAGCCUGGGUUCCAGUAUCUAAUUUUUUUUGUUUGUUUGUUUUAACUGACAAACUCAUUUCUCUACUGGGACAGGAUGCUGUGCUGGCUGGAAGUUCCAUUUCUACAGCAAGAAUCCUAUCUGGAAACACAGAAGUUGUCCUCUAGCCACAGCAGCUCGAACUUUUUUGAUUGUCGUUGCUGCUUUCUCCCAUCACCCCCAUCCCCUUUUGACAAAGAUCCAACUGUAAAAAGUCUUACGUAACAGUUCAGGACUACUUCGGUUCUUUUACUGGAUCAUAUAAAUCUUUCGCCUUUUAAAUCAUGUAUUUAAAAAAAAAGAAAAAAGAAAAACAAAGAUUUCUUUUAGAUGCAGAAUCUACCCACAUUUGGCUGAAAAUCAGAUGGAAGAAUCCACAGAGGAAAGGAAGGAAAGGCGAACUGUCCUGUGGAAAGCACAGCAGCAGGGAUAGUAGAAAGUAACGGGCUCUCAAUCCGUGGUGGAGGUGGUCACUUUGGAGGACAGAUAAGUCAUCCUCAGAGAACGAACACAAUGAAGGAAAUUCCAGCCUACUCAUGUUCUCCUCUCAAGCUGUACCUCAACAAGAUCCAACUGGACUCUGUGAUCUCAUGACCUGUCAAGGGGCCUGGCAUGGAGUAGAUAAUAAAUGAUUUUUUAAUCAAA
RNAcentral lists this non-coding RNA (670 nucleotides) under Pongo abelii (Sumatran orangutan). Lineage: Eukaryota; Metazoa; Chordata; Mammalia; Primates; Hominidae. The record is from RNAcentral.